GACGAACGCUGGCGGCGUGCUUAACACAUGCAAGUCGAACGGAAAGGCCUCUUUCGGGGGGUACUCGAGGGGCGAACGGGUGAGUAACACGUGAGUAACCUGCCCUUGACUUUGGGAUAACUUCAGGAAACUGGGGCUAAUACCGGAUAGGAGCUCCUGCUGCAUGGUGGGGGUUGGAAAGUUUCGGCGGUUGGGGAUGGACUCGCGGCUUAUCAGCUUGUUGGUGGGGUAGUGGCUUACCAAGGCUUUGACGGGUAGCCGGCCUGAGAGGGUGACCGGCCACAUUGGGACUGCGAUACGGCCCAGACUCCUACGGGAGGCAGCAGUGGGGAAUAUUGCACAAUGGGUGGAAGCCUGAUGCAGCAACGCCGUGUGCGGGAUGACGGCCCUCGGGUUGUAAACCGCUUUCGCUCAUGACGAAGCUUUGUGUGACGGUAGUGGGUAAAGAAGCACCGGCUAACUACGUG
This 467-nucleotide ribosomal RNA is filed under the name uncultured bacterium. RNAcentral's name for it is "partial 16S ribosomal RNA". It matches the Rfam family "Bacterial small subunit ribosomal RNA", at positions 28 to 507 of the family's 1533-position model. The record is from RNAcentral.